GAUGAAGAACGCAGCGAAAUGCGAUACGUAAUGUGAAUUGCAGAAUUCAGUGAAUCAUCGAGUCUUUGAACGCACAUUGCGCCCCCUGGUAUUCCGGGGGGCAUGCCUGUCCGAGCGUCAUUGCUGCCCUCAAGCACGGCUUGUGUGUUGGGCCUCCGUCCUCCUCCCGGGGGACGGGCCCAAAAGGCAGCGGCGGCACCGCGUCCGGUCCUCGAGCGUAUGGGGCUUCGUCACCCGCUCUUGUAGGCCCGGCCGGCGCUUGCCGACACAUCAAUCUUUUUUCCAGGUUGACCUCGGAUCAGGUAGGGAUACCCGCUGAACUUAAGCAUAUCAAUAAGCGGAGGA
RNAcentral lists this unclassified non-coding RNA (345 nucleotides) under soil metagenome. RNAcentral's name for it is "partial contains 5.8S ribosomal RNA, internal transcribed spacer 2, and large subunit ribosomal RNA". The stretch from base 1 to 120 matches the Rfam family "5.8S ribosomal RNA", at positions 35 to 154 of the family's 154-position model. The record is from RNAcentral.